AGGCUAGAACUCUCUGUACGCACAUUCAGUGAGGCAACUGUGAUCUCUGGAAUGUGAUCUGGUGUAGGAGAUGAUGCGGGUGUUCUUGUUCUAAAGGAUCAAGAGCCUCACCGUGAGUCCCAACACCAGACUGACAGAAGGAAGACUCUGUUUUCUCACUGGCACGUACAUCCUCAACUGUGAUAGCUGCACAAUCUGGACUGUGAACUUCUGUAGGAGAUGAUAACCGAUUCACAGCUUCUGCCUGUUCUGAUACCUCAGGCUUAUACUGUCUUCCUUGUUCUGGUCACCAAGGGACUCAAGACUCUUUUCUGCCUUUUCCUCCUCAUGCUUUUUGAGCUGGUCAACAUCUUUACUCAUGAGCGCUUCAUUAAAAGGCUCUGCUUCGCUUGUUGUGAGGCCUCUGAUGUUUCCUUUCCCAAUAUAGAUAUCUCAUUGUCAGCCUCUAGAUUUGCGGCAUCAUUACCAUCUAAUUGUUGUGCAGUAAUAUCAAGGCACUGAUGUUGGUUGUCUUGUUUUUGCCCAUCCUCCAGUGGAUUGCAUUGUGGGACAGAUGAUGACAUCACUUCAGCUGACGGGCUGCAGUCAACAUACCGGUCCUGUUCAACACAGCUCAAAGCCAUCUUGAGAUCCCAACGUCUGUCUGAGUGGUGGAAGGCUCAUUUUCCUUUAAGGCAUCUAUGAUGCCGGCUUCUAAAAUUCCCUCUUCUGCAUCUACUUGAUGUCAGCAUCUGUGUUCAUUUUGACAUUGAUGUCCUCAUUGGCAUAGUCUCCAUCUGUACUCAUGACUUCACUUGUCUCUUCCCUUUUCUGUUCUCUCUUUGUCCUGCGGGUUGACCCCAUCUUUCUCUUCUGUUUCGAGGCACCCUGUUUUACAUUCGCCUCUUCUGUGUGAUAUGGAAGUUUGAAGGUGGAUUCACAGUCGUCAUACUGUGCUGUCUUUUCCGGUGUAUCUGUGCUUUCCAUAGUAAGUGAUUGAGAAACAGACUGCUUGGUCUGUUCAUUGUGCAAUGCAUCAGAAAUGUCGGUACUAAUAUUUGAAACUUCUGGUUCCAUAGAGGAACUGAGAAUGUGAGUCUGUGUCCCUUGUUCAACUUCAUCACAGUGUUGGAUAUCAGGGCUGUAUGUCUCAAGGCUAGAACUCUCUGUACGCACAUUCAGUGAGGCAACUGUGAUCUCUGGAAUGUGAUCUGGUGUAGGAGAUGAUGGCGGGUGUUCUUGUUCUAAAGGAUCAAGAGCCUCACCGUGAGUCCCAACACCAGACUGACAGAAGGAAGACUCUGUUUUCUCACUGGCACGUACAUCCUCAACUGUGAUAGCUGCACAAUCUGGACUGUGAACUUCUGUAGGAGAUGAUAACCGAUUCACAGCUUCUGCCUGUUCUGAUACCCUCAGGCUUAUACUGUCUUCCUUGUUCUGGUCACCAAGGGACUCAAGACUCUUUUCUGCCUUUUCCUCCUCAUGCUUUUUGAGCUGGUCAACAUCUUUACUCAUGAGCGCUUCAUUAAAAGGCUCUGCUUCGCUUGUUGUGAGGCCCUCUGAUGUUUCCUUUCCCAAUAUAGAUAUCUCAUUGUCAGCUUCUAGAUUUGCGGCAUCAUUACCAUCUAAUUGUUGUGCAGUAAUAUCAAGGCACUGAUGUUGGUUGUCUUGUUUUUGCCCAUCCUCCAGUGGAUUGCAUUGUGGGACAGAUGAUGACAUCACUUCAGCUGACGGGCUGCAGUCAACAUACCGGUCCUGUUCAACACAGCUCAAAGCCAUCUUGAGAAGCCCAACGUCUGUCUGAGUGGUGGAAGGCUCAUUUUCCUUUAAGGCAUCUAUGAUGCCGGCUUCUAAAAUUCCCUCUUCUGCAUCUACUUUGAUGUCAGCAUCUGUGUUCAUUUUGACAUUGAUGUCCUCAUUGGCAUAGUCUCCAUCUGUACUCAUGACUUCACUUGUCUCUUCCCUUUUCUGUUCUCUCUUUGUCCUGCGGGUUGACCCCAUCUUUCUCUUCUGUUUCGAGGCACCCGGUUUUACAUUCGCCUCUUCUGUGUGAUAUGGAAGUUUGAAGGUGGAUUCACAGUCG
Molecule: long non-coding RNA, 2062 nt
Organism: Clupea harengus (Atlantic herring)
Lineage: Eukaryota; Metazoa; Chordata; Actinopteri; Clupeiformes; Clupeidae
Source: Ensembl